RNAcentral lists this ribosomal RNA (547 nucleotides) under uncultured fungus. RNAcentral describes it as "eukaryotic LSU rRNA". It matches the Rfam family "Eukaryotic large subunit ribosomal RNA", at positions 74 to 665 of the family's 3401-position model. Lineage: Eukaryota; Fungi. The record is from RNAcentral.
AUUGCCUCAGUAGCGGCGAGCGAAGCGGCAACAGCCCAGAUUUGAAAUCUGGCCUUCGGGUCCGAAUUGUAAUCUGCAGAGGAUGCUUUAGGCAAGGCACCAGCCAAGUUCCCUGGAAUGGGACGCCUUAGAGGGUGAGAGCCCCGUAGUGUUGGUUGCCACGCCAUUGUAUAGCUCCCUCGAAGAGUCGCGUAGUUUGGGAAUGCUGCGCAAAUAGGGAGGUAUAUCUCUCCUAAGGCUAAAUACCUGUCAGAGACCGAUAGCGCACAAGUAGAGUGAUCGAAAGAUGAAAAGAACUUUGAAAAGAGGGUUAAACAGUAUGUGAAAUUGCUAAAAGGGAAGCGCUUAUGGCUAGACUUGGUGGUGGUGGAGCAAUCCGCUGCUACUGGGCCGGCACCAGUUCGCGUUGGGGGGUAAAGGCAGUGGGAACGUAGCUCCUCCGGGAGUGUUAUAGCCCGCUGUGUAAUACCCUGGUGCGGACUGAGGCUCUCGCUUCGGCAAGGGUGCCGGCAUAAUGGCCAUCAGCGGCCCGUCUUGAAAACACGGA